This is a non-coding RNA of Aspergillus taichungensis, 114 nucleotides long. The record is from the annotation of a GenBank genome assembly. NCBI's taxonomy places the organism in Eukaryota, Fungi, Ascomycota, Eurotiomycetes, Eurotiales, Aspergillaceae.
GACAGUUUGGCCGAGUGGUUAAGGCGCGGGACUGCUAUACAGCUACCGUAGAAAUACGGUUACCGUUGCGAUCCCGUUCAUUCGUGAGCGCAGGUUCGAAUCCUGCAGCUGUCG